GCCUAGAUGGCUCAGUCGGUUGAGCGUCUGACUUCAGCUCAGGUCAUGAUCUCGAGGUUUGUGAGAUCCAGCCCCACGUUGGGCU
Transfer RNA from Felis catus (domestic cat), 85 nucleotides. It matches the Rfam family "tRNA". Rfam says of the family: Transfer RNA (tRNA) molecules are approximately 80 nucleotides in length. Their secondary structure includes four short double-helical elements and three loops (D, anti-codon, and T loops). Further hydrogen bonds mediate the characteristic L-shaped molecular structure. tRNAs have two regions of fundamental functional importance: the anti-codon, which is responsible for specific mRNA codon recognition, and the 3' end, to which the tRNAs corresponding amino acid is attached (by aminoacyl-tRNA synthetases). tRNAs cope with the degeneracy of the genetic code in two manners: having more than one tRNA (with a specific anti-codon) for a particular amino acid; and 'wobble' base-pairing, i.e. permitting non-standard base-pairing at the 3rd anti-codon position. The record is from Rfam. NCBI's taxonomy places the organism in Eukaryota, Metazoa, Chordata, Mammalia, Carnivora, Felidae.